GAUUAACGCUGGCGGCGUGCCUAAGACAUGCAAGUCGAACGAAGUGACCCAUUGAAGUUGGAGUGCUUGCACAAAGACAGAUUUGGAUUUCACUUAGUGGCGGAUGGGUGAGUAACACGUGGGUAACCUACCUUUUAGAUUGGGAUAACACAGGGAAACUUGUGAUAAUACCGAAUAGGAAAUAAAAAUGAUUUUUUUAUUUUGAAAGAUGCCUUUAAAGCAUCACUAAAAGAUGGGCCUGCGGCGUAUUAGCUAGUUGGUGGGGUAACGGCCUACCAAGGCAACGAUCAGUAGCCGGCCUGAGAGGGCGACCGGCCACAUUGGGACUGAGACACGGCCCAAACUCCUACGGGAGGCAGCAGUGGGGAAUAUUGCACAAUGGGGGAAACCCUGAUGCAGCGACGCCGCGUGAAGGAAGAAGUAUUUCGGUAUGUAAACUUCUAUCAGCAGGGAAGAAAAUGACGGUACCUGACUAAGAAGCCCCGGCUAACUACGUGCCAGCCGCCGCAGUAA
RNAcentral lists this ribosomal RNA (513 nucleotides) under uncultured bacterium. Its description in RNAcentral is "partial 16S ribosomal RNA". It matches the Rfam family "Bacterial small subunit ribosomal RNA", at positions 28 to 523 of the family's 1533-position model. The record is from RNAcentral.